This 71-nucleotide small nucleolar RNA is filed under the name Buceros rhinoceros silvestris. RNAcentral's name for it is "Small nucleolar RNA SNORA57". The record is from Rfam by way of RNAcentral. Lineage: Eukaryota; Metazoa; Chordata; Aves; Bucerotiformes; Bucerotidae.
ACUCCUGUUCUUGGCAGGCCCUGGCCACUCCGUGCCUGGGUCUGUGAUGUCCGGAGGUAGAGCAGUCACUC